Acidobacteria bacterium 13_1_40CM_3_56_11 is the source of this 84-nucleotide non-coding RNA. NCBI's taxonomy places the organism in Bacteria, Pseudomonadati, Acidobacteriota. The record is from Rfam.
GCCAUCGUGGCGGAAUUGGCAGACGCGCACGGUUCAGGUCCGUGUUCCUUCACCGGAGUAGGAGUUCGACUCUCCUCGAUGGCA